This 201-nucleotide non-coding RNA is filed under the name Chloroherpeton thalassium. The record is from RNAcentral. Lineage: Bacteria; Pseudomonadati; Chlorobiota; Chlorobiia; Chlorobiales; Chloroherpetonaceae. RNAcentral also lists the same sequence under 1 other name.
UAUAAUUUCCCUUCUUGCGGUGUUGCGUUAGGCAACGAAUAGGGAAUUCGGUGAAAGUCCGAGACAGUCCCCGCUGCUGUAAUCCUGCAUUGAUUUUCGUUUUAUCAAUGGAGCAAUCCGGCGAGUAAGCCACUUUCUUUGGAAGGGAAGGCCGAUCGGAUUCGGGAAAGUCAGAAGACCUGCCGCAAAAUAUUUUCAUUC